GAUCAUGGCUCAGGAUGAACGCUAGCGGGAGGCCUAACACAUGCAAGCCGAGCGGUAUUUAUUCUUCGGAAUAGAGAGAGCGGCGUACGGGUGCGGAACACGUGUGCAACCUGCCUUUAUCAGGGGGAUAGCCUUUCGAAAGGAAGAUUAAUACCCCAUAAUAUAUUGAAUGGCAUCAUUUGAUAUUGAAAACUCCGGUGGAUAGAGAUGGGCACGCGCAAGAUUAGAUAGUUGG
This 235-nucleotide ribosomal RNA is filed under the name uncultured bacterium. RNAcentral describes it as "partial 16S ribosomal RNA". It matches the Rfam family "Bacterial small subunit ribosomal RNA", at positions 15 to 252 of the family's 1533-position model. The record is from RNAcentral.